AGAAGUUUAGGUUAAACCUUAGACCAAGAGCCUUCAAAGCUCUAAGUAAGCCCCUACAGACUUAACUUCUG
RNAcentral lists this transfer RNA (71 nucleotides) under Pardofelis marmorata (marbled cat). Its description in RNAcentral is "tRNA-Trp". Lineage: Eukaryota; Metazoa; Chordata; Mammalia; Carnivora; Felidae. The record is from RNAcentral.